Molecule: ribosomal RNA, 450 nt
Filed under: Crystallibacter crystallopoietes
Lineage: Bacteria; Bacillati; Actinomycetota; Actinomycetes; Micrococcales; Micrococcaceae
Description: bacterial SSU rRNA
Rfam family: Bacterial small subunit ribosomal RNA
Source: RNAcentral
CUGAGUUUGAUCCUGGCUCAGGACGAACGCUGGCGGCGUGCUUAACACAUGCAAGUCGAACGAUGAUCCGGUGCUUGCACCGGGGAUUAGUGGCGAACGGGUGAGUAACACGUGAGUAACCUGCCCUUGACUCUGGGAUAAGCCUGGGAAACCGGGUCUAAUACCGGAUACGACCUGUCACCGCAUGGUGGUGGGUGGAAAGAUUUUUUGGUUUUGGAUGGACUCGCGGCCUAUCAGCUUGUUGGUGAGGUAAUGGCUCACCAAGGCGACGACGGGUAGCCGGCCUGAGAGGGUGACCGGCCACACUGGGACUGAGACACGGCCCAGACUCCUACGGGAGGCAGCAGUGGGGAAUAUUGCACAAUGGGCGAAAGCCUGAUGCAGCGACGCCGCGUGAGGGAUGACGGCCUUCGGGUUGUAAACCUCUUUCAGCAGGGAAGAAUGCGAAAG